GUGGCGUUACUCUAUUUUUCCAUCACAGCAAUCUCGUCAAAAUCUUUUAUUUUCAAAACAAAACAUCGUUGUCAAGCGGAAAAUGUCAACCAUCAACAGACAUGAAACUUCCCAGUUAGUUCAACAACCAAGUAGGAGAAACUCCGCUGUGCCUUUAGGAUGUCAGAGUGAUCUGAAUGCUGCUGGUGGAAAUUUUAAAAAAUACCUAUCAGGAAGCAUCGAUCCUUUGUAUCCUGGGGCC
Culex pipiens pallens (northern house mosquito) is the source of this 241-nucleotide long non-coding RNA. RefSeq lists it as uncharacterized. Lineage: Eukaryota; Metazoa; Arthropoda; Insecta; Diptera; Culicidae. The record is from RefSeq and is a predicted model, not a curated record. The transcript is spliced from 3 exons.